UCGGGAAUAUUGCGCAAUGGAGGAAACUCUGACGCAGUGACGCCGCGUAUAGGAAGAAGGUUUUCGGAUUGUAAACUAUUUUAGACAGGGAAGAAAAUGACAGUACCUGUAGAAUAAGCUCCGGCUAACUACGUGCCAGCAGCCGCGGUAAUACGUAGGGAGCAAGCGUUAUCCGGAUUUAUUGGGUGUAAAGGGUGCGUAGACGGGAAAGCAAGUUAGUUGUGAAAGCCCUCGGCUUAACUGAGGAACUGCAACUAAAACUAUUUUUCUUGAGUGCGGGAGAGGAAAGCGGAAUUCCUAGUGUAGCGGUGAAAUGCGUAGAUAUUAGGAGGAACACCAGUGGCGAAGGCGGCUUUCUGGACUGUAACUGACGUUGAGGCACGAAAGUGUGGGGAGC
This 397-nucleotide ribosomal RNA is filed under the name uncultured Acetivibrio sp. Its description in RNAcentral is "bacterial SSU rRNA". It matches the Rfam family "Bacterial small subunit ribosomal RNA", at positions 355 to 769 of the family's 1533-position model. Lineage: Bacteria; Bacillati; Bacillota; Clostridia; Acetivibrionales; Acetivibrionaceae. The record is from RNAcentral.